CGCGCAGGCGGUUUUAUAAGUCAGAUGUGAAAUCCCGGGGGCUCAACCCCGGAAGUGCAUUUGAAACUAUAAGACUUGAGUAUGGGAGAGGGAAGUGGAAUUCCUGGUGUAGAGGUGAAAUUCGUAGAUAUCAGGAGGAACACCGGUGGCGAAGGCGACUUCCUGGACCAAUACUGACGCUGAGGCGCGAAGGCGUGGGGAGCAAACA
RNAcentral lists this ribosomal RNA (208 nucleotides) under uncultured bacterium. RNAcentral describes it as "partial 16S ribosomal RNA". It matches the Rfam family "Bacterial small subunit ribosomal RNA", at positions 568 to 774 of the family's 1533-position model. The record is from RNAcentral.